Molecule: ribosomal RNA, 274 nt
Filed under: uncultured bacterium
Lineage: Bacteria
Description: partial 16S ribosomal RNA
Rfam family: Bacterial small subunit ribosomal RNA
Source: RNAcentral
AUACGGAGGGUGCGAGCGUUAAUCGGAAUUACUGGGCGUAAAGCGUGCGUAGGCGGUUUGCUAAGUCAGAUGUGAAAGCCCCGGGCUUAACCUGGGAACUGCAUUUGAUACUGGCAGACUAGAGUAUGAUAGAGGGGGGUAGAAUUCCUGGUGUAGCGGUGAAAUGCGCAGAUAUCAGGAGGAAUACCAGUGGCGAAGGCGGCCCCCUGGAUCAAUACUGACGCUGAGGUACGAAAGCGUGGGGAGCGAACAGGAUUAGAAACCCUAGUAGUCC